AUGUGAUGAGCUUAAAGUUCAUUGGCAAAAAUGGAUGUGAGUUAUGCUGAUAUUUUGUGUUUAUAAUUGGCAAUCUUAAUUGUUUUCAUUGUAAUCUUCCGUCAUUUUUAAUCAUCUUUAGUCAUCUUGUUUAUCUUCCCAUUUCAUGUCCUUGUUGCUUUGUUGCUUGCCUCACCAAUUUCAAUGUAAAUAGGGAUUUACUGUUAAACGUGUUCACUGUCAGUCUUUCAACAGAUGACAACUUUUUUUUCAAGUACAAUGAACUAUGCUGAUUUGAUGACACUACUUGUUGAUUGUUGAUGCUUAGGAAAUGCUGUGAAUAUUGUGUUUAGGAUUAACAAAUGUUUAACAACUUGAUGUGAUCAAUGGUGGUGCUGUUUAACCUGUAAUCUCAUGAAAUGUCAACAUAACGCCAAAUCAAUAUGUAUUACUUGCUGUCAAAGGUUUGCCUUGAACUAUAUCACCAAAAGGUCGAUUGAUGUGGGAAAAAGGAUUGAAGAAAGUGAUUAAGAUACCUGUUUCAACUUUCACCUAAUUGUUGCUGUUGUUUUCAAUCAUGUUAAUAGAUGUUGAAAUGAAAAAUUUGUGGGUUGGUUCCAGUUUCUGGUAGAGACAUCGCUCAAAAUGAUCAACAAGCUGUAAAUUUCACAAACCGAGAGGCCGACCACAUUAAUAUAAAUUAGCGGAAAAUAUUGGAGACCAUUUUUAAUUGAAUUGGAUAUUUUAUUGUUAUAACUGUUUUGGACAGAAAAAGUUUCAAAUUGGACGUUCAUUGUUGCUGUUUAAAUUAAAUAUAUUGAUUGUGGAUUUACGUCUUGUUACAUGGUUUUAUUUGUCUGGUGACAAUACCGAUUGAUAAUAGAUUAUCAUAAAUAUAGUUAUAUAUAUAUAUGUUUGUGUGAUUGUAUGUAUAAAAGGCACGAAUAAAUUGGACGUAAACGAUGAUAA
Tetranychus urticae (two-spotted spider mite) is the source of this 948-nucleotide long non-coding RNA. RefSeq lists it as uncharacterized. Lineage: Eukaryota; Metazoa; Arthropoda; Arachnida; Trombidiformes; Tetranychidae. The record is from RefSeq and is a predicted model, not a curated record.